Molecule: unclassified non-coding RNA, 561 nt
Filed under: Hevea brasiliensis (rubber tree)
Lineage: Eukaryota; Viridiplantae; Streptophyta; Magnoliopsida; Malpighiales; Euphorbiaceae
Source: RNAcentral
AUUGCAGAAUUAAAAGCCAUCUACAAAGCUCUUGAGUUGCUAGUCUCCUUUCCUGAUAUUUGCUUGGGUGUUGAUGUUAUUUUUGCGGAAUCAGAUUCCAGGAAUGCGUUAUCAUGGGUAUCUUGUCCUGACAAUGCUCCUUAGAGAGUUAAUAAUAUUAUCAACUUUAUUACUAAUUACCUUCUCUCUUUGCCUCGGCUCAACUUUUCCCACAUUUUGCAUGAAGCAAACUCCGUAGCUAAUUCGUUGGCCAAGCAACGCAUAUCAAGGUCUAAUGAGUUUUUUGCAUGGCUGUAAGAGAAGAGCUGCCAUUUGAUUUGCUCAGUGCUUCGGCUAAGUUUGUGUUGGUGGUCCUCUUUUGCAGCUUAGCUCUUCAAACAUGCAGAAGAUCUUAUUCUUCUGGCUUGUUUCGGGGCUUAUUUUGAAGGAGUAGCUAUUAGCUGUUAUGUUUUCUAUUUUGUUUAUCUUUCUUUGGUUAGGGCUUGAUCUUGCAUUUUUCUCUAGUUGUUGGUCUAUUUAGCUUUGUUUUGUGAUGUACCGUGUCUUCUUCGGAUUUUUUUU